This is a transfer RNA of 81 nucleotides. It matches the Rfam family "tRNA". Rfam says of the family: Transfer RNA (tRNA) molecules are approximately 80 nucleotides in length. Their secondary structure includes four short double-helical elements and three loops (D, anti-codon, and T loops). The record is from Rfam.
GAUAUUGUGGCCGAGUGGUUAAGGCGAAGGACUUGAAAUCCUUUCACGAAAGUGUCGCAGGUUCGAAUCCUGUCAAUAUCG